CGGCGGACGGGUGAGUAACACGUGGGUAAUCUGCCUUAUACAGGGGGAUAACAGUUAGAAAUGACUGCUAAUACCGCAUAAGCGCACGGGGACGCAUGUUUCUGUGUGAAAAACUCCGGUAGUAUAAGAUGAGCCUGCGUCUGAUUAGCUGGUUGGUGGGGUAACGGCCUACCAAGGCGACGAUCAGUAGCCGGCCUGAGAGGGUGAACGGCCACAUUGGGACUGAGACACGGCCCAAACUCCUACGGGAGGCAGCAG
RNAcentral lists this ribosomal RNA (258 nucleotides) under uncultured bacterium. Its description in RNAcentral is "partial 16S ribosomal RNA". It matches the Rfam family "Bacterial small subunit ribosomal RNA", at positions 96 to 354 of the family's 1533-position model. The record is from RNAcentral.